This 440-nucleotide ribosomal RNA is filed under the name uncultured bacterium. RNAcentral describes it as "partial 16S ribosomal RNA". It matches the Rfam family "Bacterial small subunit ribosomal RNA", at positions 338 to 795 of the family's 1533-position model. The record is from RNAcentral.
CCUACGGGCGGCAGCAGUGGGGAAUAUUGCACAAUGGGGGAAACCCUGAUGCAGCGACGCCGCGUGAGUGAAGAAGUAAUUCGUUAUGUAAAGCUCUAUCAGCAGGGAAGAAAAUGACGGUACCUGAGUAAGAAGCCCCGGCUAACUACGUGCCAGCAGCCGCGGUAAUACGUAGGGGGCAAGCGGUAUCCGGAUUUACUGGGUGUAAAGGGAGCGUAGACGGCAGUGCAAGUCUGGAGUGAAAGGCGGGGGCUCAACCCCCGGACUGCUCUGGAAACUGUACGGCUGGAGGGGAGGAGAGGUAAGUGGGAUUCCUAGGGUAGGGGUGGAAUGCGUAGAUAUUAGGAGGAAAACCAGUGGCGAAGGCGGCUUACUGGACUGUAACUGACGUUGAGGCUCGAAAGCGUGGGGAGCAAACAGGAUUAGAUACCCCUGUAGUC